This 671-nucleotide ribosomal RNA is filed under the name Staphylococcus warneri. RNAcentral's name for it is "bacterial SSU rRNA". It matches the Rfam family "Bacterial small subunit ribosomal RNA", at positions 85 to 742 of the family's 1533-position model. The record is from RNAcentral. Lineage: Bacteria; Bacillati; Bacillota; Bacilli; Caryophanales; Staphylococcaceae.
UUUGACGUUAGCGGCGGACGGGUGAGUAACACGUGGAUAACCUACCUAUAAGACUGGGAUAACUUCGGGAAACCGGAGCUAAUACCGGAUAACAUAUUGAACCGCAUGGUUCAAUAGUGAAAGGCGGCUUUGCUGUCACUUAUAGAUGGAUCCGCGCCGUAUUAGCUAGUUGGUAAGGUAACGGCUUACCAAGGCAACGAUACGUAGCCGACCUGAGAGGGUGAUCGGCCACACUGGAACUGAGACACGGUCCAGACUCCUACGGGAGGCAGCAGUAGGGAAUCUUCCGCAAUGGGCGAAAGCCUGACGGAGCAACGCCGCGUGAGUGAUGAAGGUCUUCGGAUCGUAAAACUCUGUUAUCAGGGAAGAACAAAUGUGUAAGUAACUGUGCACAUCUUGACGGUACCUGAUCAGAAAGCCACGGCUAACUACGUGCCAGCAGCCGCGGUAAUACGUAGGUGGCAAGCGUUAUCCGGAAUUAUUGGGCGUAAAGCGCGCGUAGGCGGUUUUUUAAGUCUGAUGUGAAAGCCCACGGCUCAACCGUGGAGGGUCAUUGGAAACUGGAAAACUUGAGUGCAGAAGAGGAAAGUGGAAUUCCAUGUGUAGCGGUGAAAUGCGCAGAGAUAUGGAGGAACACCAGUGGCGAAACGCGACUUUCUGGUCUGUAACUG